This 492-nucleotide ribosomal RNA is filed under the name uncultured bacterium. RNAcentral describes it as "partial 16S ribosomal RNA". It matches the Rfam family "Bacterial small subunit ribosomal RNA", at positions 30 to 507 of the family's 1533-position model. The record is from RNAcentral.
AUUGAACGCUGGCGGCAUGCUUUACACAUGCAAGUCGAACGGUAACAGGCCUUCGGGUGCUGACGAGUGGCGAACGGGUGAGUAAUGCAUCGGAACGUGCCCAGAGGUGGGGGAUAACGCAGCGAAAGCUGUGCUAAUACCGCAUGUGAUCUGAGGAUGAAAGCGGGGGACCAGGCAGCAAUGUUUGGCCUCGCGCCUUUGGAGCGGCCGAUGUCAGAUUAGGUAGUUGGUGGGGUAAAGGCCUACCCAGCCGACGAUCUGUAGCUGGUCUGAGAGGACGACCAGCCACACUGGGACUGAGACACGGCCCAGACUCCUACGGGAGGCAGCAGUGGGGAAUUUUGGACAAUGGGCGCAAGCCUGAUCCAGCAAUGCCGCGUGCGGGAAGAAGGCCUUCGGGUUGUAAACCGCUUUUGUACGGAACGAAAAGGCUCUGGCUAAUACCUGGGGCUGAUGACGGUACCGUAAGAAUAAGCACCGGCUAACUACGUG